AUUGUAGUCUGCAACCCGACUACAUGAAGCUGGAAUCGCUAGUAAUCGCGGAUCAGAAUGCCGCGGUGAAUACGUUCCCGGGUCUUGUACACACCGCCCGUCACACCAUGGGAGCCGGUAACGCCCGAAGUCAGUGACCCAACCGAGAGGAGGGAGCUGCCGAAGGCGGGACAGGUAACUGGGGUGAAGUCGUAACAAGGUAGC
This 204-nucleotide ribosomal RNA is filed under the name uncultured bacterium. RNAcentral's name for it is "partial 16S ribosomal RNA". It matches the Rfam family "Bacterial small subunit ribosomal RNA", at positions 1297 to 1500 of the family's 1533-position model. The record is from RNAcentral.